This 233-nucleotide long non-coding RNA is filed under the name Trifolium pratense (red clover). Its description in RNAcentral is "long non-coding RNA (TPRA_LNC011672)". The record is from RNAcentral. Lineage: Eukaryota; Viridiplantae; Streptophyta; Magnoliopsida; Fabales; Fabaceae.
AAAUAUAGAAAACAUGAAAAAAUACAAAAUUAAUUUUAUAAAUUAGACACAAAAAUUACAUCGAUUUAUACACUUCGUCAACUAUUUCAACUUCAAAGUGAAUGAAAUCUUCCUCCUAUCUAGGGAAACUAAAAAUUACACAUUAGACGCAAAAAUUACAUUAAAAUUCGUGCUAACCAUGAACAUCCUAAGUUUAGCAUUAAUCUUACACAUAUAAAUUAGAUUUUACAACU